RNAcentral lists this ribosomal RNA (253 nucleotides) under uncultured bacterium. Its description in RNAcentral is "partial 16S ribosomal RNA". It matches the Rfam family "Bacterial small subunit ribosomal RNA", at positions 524 to 776 of the family's 1533-position model. The record is from RNAcentral.
UACGUAGGGUCCGAGCGUUAUUCGGAAUUACUGGGCGUAAAGCGUGCGCAGGCGGUUCGUUAAGUCCGGUGUGAAAUCCCCGGGCUUAACCUGGGAACUGCGCUGGUAACUAGCGGGCUAGAGUGCGGCAGAGGGGGGUGGAAUUCCACGUGUAGCAGUGAAAUGCGUAGAUAUGUGGAGGAACACCGAUGGCGAAGGCAGCCCCCUGGGUCGACACUGACGCUCAUGCACAAAAGCGUGGGGAGCAAACAGG